Molecule: ribosomal RNA, 807 nt
Filed under: Triticum aestivum (bread wheat)
Lineage: Eukaryota; Viridiplantae; Streptophyta; Magnoliopsida; Poales; Poaceae
Description: partial small subunit ribosomal RNA
Source: RNAcentral
AUGUAUGAAUUGUGGGAGCAACUGUACGAUCCGGAUUUAGACCCUGAAAUGGUUGGUCCCGAAAUGAUAACCCAUGCUCCUGACAAGCUUCGUGACCAUGUCUACAUCAGGGUAUUUAUCUUUCCGGAUCCGUCCACAGGAAGCUACAUUGUGGUUCUCAUCCAUGGUCCAGGAUGUCAGCUUUCGUUUGCAAGGGUAGGAGAUUGUAAGUGGACCUUGCUGACGCUGGAUUGGGACUAUGAUCAAUGCAUCUACAUGGAUGGUCUAUUGUAUGCAUCCACAAGAGCCGGAAGAAUGGAUGCUUUUGACCUCACUGGUCCUACCGUCACGAGGAAUAUAAUUGCAGAUGAGAUUGCCAUUCACAGUUCUGAGUACAGGGGCGAAUUCUACCUUCUUCAGGCUCCAUGGGGUGAUCUGCUGCAAGUUUGCAGGAAGGCUGAACUCAUAGAUGCGGGCUAUGAGGAGCUCAUAGUUAAAACUAAUAAAAUCUUGUUACACAAAGUCGAUAUGGAAGCACAAGAGCUUGUGGAAAUAAAUAGCUUGCAUCAUAACGUGUUGUUUCUGGGGCGUAACCAGUCUAUAUGCCUUAGUGCUGAAGAAUAUCCGCAACUGAAGGCAAAUUGUGUCUAUUUCGCAGAUGAUGAGCAACACAAUUGGAAGUAUAAGACGAAUCCCCGGGACAUAGGUGUUCUCAACCUUGAAGAUGACAGUAGGGAGGAAAUUGUGUCCCCGCUUUGGUCCAGCUGGCCAAGUCCCAUAUGGAUAACACCCAGUCUUACAGUGAUGAACCUGUCAUUGUACAAAUAG